This 387-nucleotide ribosomal RNA is filed under the name Triticum aestivum (bread wheat). Its description in RNAcentral is "partial small subunit ribosomal RNA". Lineage: Eukaryota; Viridiplantae; Streptophyta; Magnoliopsida; Poales; Poaceae. The record is from RNAcentral.
AUGAAGCUCACAACAAAGUUCUACUGCCCUUAUCGUAUAUUGGAAAAGAUUGGCCGUGUGGCUUACAAACUCCAACUUCCAGUGAAUGUGGGCAUCCAUCAUGUGUUCCACGUGAGCCAGUUGAAAAAGCACCUUGGCUCUCAUGCAAUACCCAGCCCAGAUCUUCCCCUUGUGGGCACAGAUGGCAAGAUCAAAACCAAUCCUUUGGAUGUCCUGGAAACUCGAUCGUUGCCCUGGAAUGGCGUUCUGGUCACACAAUGGCUGGUCGAGUGGGAGAACCUCAAGCCAGAAGAUGCAACUUGGGACGAUGCCAACUUCAUGAAGCAAGUUUUCCCAGCCUUCUUUGCCAACACCAUCAAGAGUUGGUUCCCAGAUCGGAACACUUGA